UUUGAGUAAAAUAGCCUCAUUCAGUUAAAGUGGAAAGUUUUCUCUAACAGUACCAGUCUUCUUCCAACCAAAUUUGAGGUUUGUUUCCACAGAAAUUUAUCUCUUUGGUAUGUGCAUGUGCCCUCAAAACCAAUGGGAAAAAGUUGGCAAGGGUUCAUGGUUUUCGGCCAAUGUCACCAUUUGACCAUAAGCUCUUAGAUAUACGAAAGUAGCUGGUUCAUCCUCGGCAACUUUUGAGAUGUCAAUUGAAGAAGAAUUUUUCCUGUAUCGGGUAGUUCUCUUGAUCGUGGGCUUGG
Molecule: long non-coding RNA, 296 nt
Organism: Eucalyptus grandis
Lineage: Eukaryota; Viridiplantae; Streptophyta; Magnoliopsida; Myrtales; Myrtaceae
Exons: 3
Source: RefSeq, a predicted model, not a curated record